This 446-nucleotide ribosomal RNA is filed under the name uncultured bacterium. Its description in RNAcentral is "bacterial SSU rRNA". It matches the Rfam family "Bacterial small subunit ribosomal RNA", at positions 355 to 825 of the family's 1533-position model. The record is from RNAcentral.
UCGGGAAUUUUGGACAAUGGGCGCAAGCCUGAUCCAGCCAUGCCGCGUGAGUGAAGAAGGCCUUCGGGUUGUAAAGCUCUUUUACCAGGGACGAUAAUGACGGUACCUGGAGAAUAAGCCCCGGCAAACUUCGUGCCAGCAGCCGCGGUAAUACGAAGGGGGCUAGCGUUGUUCGGAAUUACUGGGCGUAAAGCGUGCGCAGGCGGUUCGCCAAGUCAGGUGUGAAAUCCCCGGGCUUAACCUGGGAAUUGCGCUUGAAACUAGCGGGCUUGAGUGUGGCAGAGGGGGGUGGAAUUCCACGUGUAGCAGUGAAAUGCGUAGAGAUGUGGAGGAACACCGAUGGCGAAGGCAGCCCCCUGGGUCAACACUGACGCUCAUGCACGAAAGCGUGGGGAGCAAACAGGAUUAGAUACCCCGUAGUCCCUGAGCGGGCUGGCAAGGCGCAU